CCUACGGGAGGCAGCAGUGGGGGAUAUUGCACAAUGGGGGGAACCCUGAUGCAGCGACGCCGCGUGGGUGAAGGAGCGUUUCGGCGCGUAAAGCCCUAUCGGCAGGGAAGAAGAAGGACGGUACCUGACUAAGAAGCCCCGGCUAACUACGUGCCAGCAGCCGCGGUAAUACGGAGGGGGCAAGCGUUAUCCGGAUUUACUGGGUGUAAGGGGGGCGCAGACGGCAGCGCAAGCCAGGAGUGAAAGCCCGGGGCCCAACCCCGGGACUGCGCUUGGAACUGCGCGGCUGGAGUGCAGGAGGGGCAGGCGGAAUUCCUGGUGUAGCGGUGAAAUGCGUAGAUAUCAGGAGGAACACCGGUGGCGAAGGCGGCCUGCUGGACUGCGACUGACGUUGAGGCCCGAAAGCGUGGGGAGCAAACAGGAUUAGAUACCCCAGUAGUC
RNAcentral lists this ribosomal RNA (441 nucleotides) under uncultured bacterium. RNAcentral describes it as "partial 16S ribosomal RNA". It matches the Rfam family "Bacterial small subunit ribosomal RNA", at positions 338 to 795 of the family's 1533-position model. The record is from RNAcentral.